AACGAUAAAGCGGGUGAAAAGCCCGCUCGCCGGAAGACCAAGGGUUCCUGUCCAACGUUAAUCGGGGCAGGGUGAGUCGACCCCUAAGGCGAGGCCGAAAGGCGUAGUCGAUGGGAAACAGGUUAAUAUUCCUGUACUUGGUGUUACUGCGAAGGGGGGACGGAGAAGGCUAUGUUGGCCGGGCGACGGUUGUCCCGGUUUAAGCGUGUAGGCUGGUUUUCCAGGCAAAUCCGGAAAAUCAAGGCUGAGGCGUGAUGACGAGGCACUACGGUGCUGAAGCAACAAAUGCCCUGCUUCCAGGAAAAGCCUCUAAGCAUCAGGUAACAUCAAAUCGUACCCCAAACCGACACAGGUGGUCAGGUAGAGAAUACCAAGGCGCUUGAGAGAACUCGGGUGAAGGAACUAGGCAAAAUGGUGCCGUAACUUCGGGAGAAGG
This 436-nucleotide ribosomal RNA is filed under the name Escherichia coli. RNAcentral's name for it is "partial 23S ribosomal RNA". It matches the Rfam family "Bacterial large subunit ribosomal RNA", at positions 1308 to 1746 of the family's 2925-position model. The record is from RNAcentral. Lineage: Bacteria; Pseudomonadati; Pseudomonadota; Gammaproteobacteria; Enterobacterales; Enterobacteriaceae.